Molecule: non-coding RNA, 493 nt
Organism: Parasteatoda tepidariorum (common house spider)
Lineage: Eukaryota; Metazoa; Arthropoda; Arachnida; Araneae; Theridiidae
Source: RefSeq, a predicted model, not a curated record
UUGUAGUUCCUGGCGCGAAGAAUUUUUGAGUAUCAUGAUUUAUUUUCUUCUCUCUCCCCAUUCCUUAGUGAACUCGAUCCGCCAAGUAGCUCUGCUAGCUGGUUUCGCCUGUGGCCGUGUUUUGCAGUUCACGAUUCUCACUUCGCCCACUAAUCUGACUCUGCGCGUAACAUCAUUGUAGCUGCUGCCUCUUGUCACUGCUCGCGACCAAUGUGAAGAUAGAAAUGAAAUGGAAAUGAAGUUUUCAAAAAGCCAGGAGUAGUUGAUAUACUAAAGGCAGUACUAGUUGCAUUUGAUGUGAAAUAUGUAUUAAUAAUUGAUUAUAAGAAUAAGGUAGCAAAAGAAGUGAAUGCAUCAUUUCCAAUCAUGGUAGUGAAAAGAAAUUCUCGUCAAAGGUUUAAUAUUGAUCCAAAUGAAGUUGUAUCUGAUGAAAUGGGCCUUCAUACUGAAGAGUCAAAUAAAUCCAAAAGACCAAGUACUGAAAUGUGCAAGA